ACUCCUGCGGGAGGCAGCAGUGGGGAAUAUUGCACAAUGGGCGCAAGCCUGAUGCAGCCAUGCCGCGUGUGUGAAGAAGGCCUUCGGGUUGUAAAGCACUUUCAGCGGGGAGGAAGGCAAUGCGGUUAAUAACCGUGUUGAUUGACGUUACCCGCAGAAGAAGCACCGGCUAACUCCGUGCCAGCAGCCGCGGUAAUACGGAGGGUGCAAGCGUUAAUCGGAAUUACUGGGCGUAAAGCGCACGCAGGCGGUCUGUCAAGUCGGAUGUGAAAUCCCCGGGCUCAACCUGGGAACUGCAUUCGAAACUGGCAGGCUUGAGUCUUGUAGAGGGGGGUAGAAUUCCAGGUGUAGCGGUGAAAUGCGUAGAGAUCUGGAGGAAUACCGGUGGUGAAGGCGGCCCCCUGGACAAAGACUGACGCUCAGGUGCGAAAGCGUGGGGAGCAAACAGGAUUAGAAACCCGAGUAGUCCCAUGA
This 474-nucleotide ribosomal RNA is filed under the name uncultured organism. RNAcentral's name for it is "partial 16S ribosomal RNA". It matches the Rfam family "Bacterial small subunit ribosomal RNA", at positions 335 to 800 of the family's 1533-position model. The record is from RNAcentral.